Molecule: ribosomal RNA, 380 nt
Filed under: Bifidobacterium longum subsp. infantis
Lineage: Bacteria; Bacillati; Actinomycetota; Actinomycetes; Bifidobacteriales; Bifidobacteriaceae
Description: bacterial SSU rRNA
Rfam family: Bacterial small subunit ribosomal RNA
Source: RNAcentral
CGCUGGCGGCGUGCUUAACACAUGCAAGUCGAACGGGAUCAUCAAGUUUGUGGUGAGAGUGGCGAACGGGUGAGUAAUGCGUGACCGACCUGCCCCAUGCUCCGGAAUACUCCUGGAAACGGGUGGUAAUGCCGGAUGUUCCACAUGAUCGCAUGUGAUUGUGGGAAAGAUUCUAUCGGCGUGGGAUGGGGUCGCGUCCUAUCAGCUUGUUGGUGAGGUAACGGCUCACCAAGGCUUAGACGGGUAGCCGGCACUGAGAGGGCGACCGGCCACAUUGGGAUCUGAGAUACGGCCCAGACUCCUACGGGAGGCAGCAGUGGGAAUAUUGCACAAUGGGCGCAAGCCUGAUGCAGAGACCCCGCGUGAGGGAUGGAGGCCUU